AUACGGAGGAUCCGAGCGUUAUCCGGAUUUAUUGGGUUUAAAGGGUGCGCAGGCGGGAGAUUAAGUCGGCGGUGAAAUUUUGCAGCUCAAAUGUAAAAGUGCCUUCGAAACUGGUUUCCUUGAGUGUAGAUGAAGUAGGCGGAAUUUGUGGUGUAGCGGUGAAAUGCAUAGAUAUCACGAGGAACUCCGAUUGCGCAGGCAGCUUACUAAACUACUACUGACGCUCAGGCACGAAGGCGUGGGGAUCAAACAGGAUUAGAUACCCUGGUAGUCCACGCAGUAAACGAUGAUUACUAGCUGUUUGCGAUACAAUGUAAGCGGCUGAGCGAAAGCGUUAAGUAAUCCACCUGGGGAGUACGUUCGCAAGAAUGAAACUCAAAGGAAUUGACGGGG
This 393-nucleotide ribosomal RNA is filed under the name uncultured bacterium. RNAcentral's name for it is "partial 16S ribosomal RNA". It matches the Rfam family "Bacterial small subunit ribosomal RNA", at positions 523 to 918 of the family's 1533-position model. The record is from RNAcentral.